This 577-nucleotide ribosomal RNA is filed under the name Allostichaster sp. voucher CASIZ 174681. RNAcentral describes it as "partial 16S ribosomal RNA". It matches the Rfam family "Bacterial large subunit ribosomal RNA", at positions 1816 to 2597 of the family's 2925-position model. Lineage: Eukaryota; Metazoa; Echinodermata; Asteroidea; Forcipulatida; Asteriidae. The record is from RNAcentral.
CGCUCUUUGCAAAAUAAUUAAAGUAUAAAGAGUUCUGCCUGCCCAGUGACGUUGUUAAACGGCCGCGGUAUUUUGACCGUGCAAAGGUAGCAUAAUCAUUUGCCUUUUAAAUGGGGGCUGGUAUGAAUGGCAAGACGGAGGUUAGGCUGUCUUUUUCUUUUAUCUUGAAAUUAAUAUUUUUGUGAAGAAGCAGAAAUAAAUUCGUAGGACGAGAAGACCCUAUCGAGCUUUAGCAUAGCCAUAUUAGUAGUGGUUUUAUUAAAUGAGUCUAAUUAAAUUAAAUAAUAAUUAAAAAACUUAACUUAUGUAGAAAAAUUACAUAAUAUUGUUGUUUUGGUUGGGGCAACCAUGGAGAAAAUAAAUCCUCCAUUAAAUAAAAAAAAAGAUACAACUUUGUUAAUAAUUGAAAGUGAUCCGGCUUUAUGCCGAACAAAGGAAUAAGUUACCGUAGGGAUAACAGCGUAAUUUUUUUGGAGAGUCCAUAUUGAUAAAAAAGUUUGCGACCUCGAUGUUGGAUCGGGAUUUCCUGGAGAUGCAGCAGUUUCCAAGGGUUGGUCUGUUCGACCAUUAAAAUCCU